Molecule: ribosomal RNA, 253 nt
Filed under: uncultured bacterium
Lineage: Bacteria
Description: partial 16S ribosomal RNA
Rfam family: Bacterial small subunit ribosomal RNA
Source: RNAcentral
UACGGGGGGGGCAAGCGUUGUUCGGAAUUACUGGGCGUAAAGGGCUCGUAGGCGGCCAACUAAGUCGAACGUGAAAUCCCCAGGCUCAACCUGGGAACUGCGUCCGAUACUGGCAGGCUUGAAUCCGGGAGAGGGAUGUGGAAUUCCAGGUGUAGCGGUGAAAUGCGCAGAUAUCAGGAGGAACACCGGUGGCGAAGGCGGGUCUCUGGGCCGAUACUGACGCUGAGGAGCGAAAGCGUGGGGAGCAAACAGG